Molecule: long non-coding RNA, 581 nt
Organism: Bemisia tabaci
Lineage: Eukaryota; Metazoa; Arthropoda; Insecta; Hemiptera; Aleyrodidae
Source: RefSeq, a predicted model, not a curated record
UACGAAGUUCCAGCUUCCAGCGCUUGGAUACGCUUCCCCUCGAAACCACGCCAUUUCAUUGACUGAUAAUGAGCACAGGGCCCAGUAUAAAUACCCCGUUUGAUUACAAACAAAUCAAGUCAGUAUUCACUAGCUCAAGCUUCUACUUUUCUCAGCCUUUAAAAACCCCAACCAAACUCCAACAUGUACGGACAAGAGAAGAACGUCAUUGACAUCGUCGCCCUCAACGGCAAAGAGCGCAACGCCAUGGACAUCGUCGCCUUAAACGGCAAAGAACGCAACACGGUUGACAUCGUUGCCCUCAACGGAAAGGAACGUAAUGUUGUCGACAUCGUUGCCCUCAACGGAAAGGAACGCGUUGUCUUCGACGUCAUCGCCCUCAACGGAAAGGAAAGGACCUCCUUCGACAUCAUCUCCCUAUAAGUUCCUCUCCCUGAGUCCGACCAUCUGUAAUAAAAGCAGAUGGAAAGAUUCCUGGUUAAUAGAAUGAAGUGCUCCUGAAUUCUAUAUCCCUCUUUGGAUCCACAUAAUUACAUUCUGUGUAAUCAAAAUUUAGUCCGAAUAAAACAAUCAAAACGAAA